RNA transcript from Vigna radiata var. radiata (mung bean), 2141 nucleotides. RefSeq lists it as uncharacterized. The transcript has 17 exons. Lineage: Eukaryota; Viridiplantae; Streptophyta; Magnoliopsida; Fabales; Fabaceae. The record is from RefSeq and is a predicted model, not a curated record.
UCACUACCCUUUUGGGUCUUCUUUUCUUCUACUCAAUUGGAAAGGUUGUUGUCAUUUGAAAUCAAAAGAAAGUCCCAUGAGCAUGCAGACGCUGACCCUCUUUCGCUUCCCCCAACCAAUUUCUCAAAACGCUGUCGUUCCCAGCUACGCCAUGUCUCGUUCCUCCGAAACCUCCUUUCCCACCCUCACCACUACUUCUAUAUCAUUCUUUCAACUCCAAGAUAAGAACGCUGACUUGUCGUUGAAGAUUGAAGAAGGCUUUGGACCCAAUGGGUUGGGGAUUCUAUCUGUCACUGAUGUUCCAGGAUACCCUUCACUGCGCAGAAAUCUAUUGCAACUUGCACCAAGAUUAGCGAAACUUCCCAAAGAAGUAAAGGAGGAUCUUGAAGAUCCUAACAGUACAAUUUUGGUUGGAGUCAUGGGAAAGAGAAACUUGAGUCAGGGAAGCCAGCAUCAAAAGGAAAGGAAGACAUGCUCUGGAAGUGACUUUCUGUCAAAAGAAAAUAUAUUAAAGGGAUCUUUCUAUGCCAAUCCCAUACUUGAUACACCUACAACAGAGACUUCUUUGAUACAACGGUAUCCAUCAUAUUGUGGAUCAAAUAUAUGGCCUAGGAACACUUUACCGGAAUUUGAAGUGGCUUUCAAAGCACUUGGCAUGCUGAUAUUUGAUGUCGGAUUGAUGUUGGCAUAUCACUGUGAUCAAUAUGUAUCGAGAGGGAUGAAAACUCGUAAGGAUGAAGGUCUGGAAUCAAUACUUCGUCGCUCCCGCUGUCACAAAGGACGUUUGCUAUAUUAUUUUCCUUCCCAACAAGGAGACCCAGAUGGUAACUCUUUGUCAUCAUGGUGUGGAUGGCAUACUGACCACGGUUCACUGACAGGCCUAACUUGUGGUAUGUUUACGAAAGAUGGUGUAGAAAUGUCUUGCCCUGAUAGUGCUGCUGGCCUCUAUAUUCGAACAAGAAGUGAUCAAAUUGUCAAAGUUGUCUUUGGAGAAGAUGAUAUAGCAUACCAAAUUGGUGAAACCACUGAAAUACUUUCUGGAAGUUAUCUUUGUGCAACACCUCAUUGUGUUCAGGCUCCCAAGGGGGAGAAGUCUUCUGGCAUUGAGCGCUCGACAUUUGCAUUAUUCAUGCAACCGGACUGGGAUGAAAAACUCAAUUUCCCCGAGGAAGUUCGCAUUCAUAAAGAGCUUAUUCCAUCAAAUUCUGCCCUUACUUUUGGAGAGUAUUCAGAGAUGCUGCUGGACAAAUAUUAUCACCAAAAACAGUAAUGUUUACAUCUUGUCUAUUGAUGUUGAUCAAACUCGACCUAUGUUUUUUGGACCUAGGGUCGAUCACUGGUUGAAGAGACUUGGCCUGUUAAUUCAUGGGACUAGAAUAAUACUGUGUAAAUGUGUAGUCGCUAUUAGAUAGUGGCAAAAAAAGGGAUAACUGGUUGACUUGUUACUUAUAUGCCAACAAGUAUUACUAGUUGUGAAGAAUUAGCAUGUUACUAAAUCACGGGACUGAGAAAAUUGUGUAAAUAAAUGUGCAGUCACUAUUGGAUAAUAGAAAAAGAAAAGGAAAAUUAUUAUAAACUACGUAGAAUGAAAGUUACUGUACAAUCCAAUGUUUGCUUUCUUAUCUUCAAUGGUGACGCCAUGCAAUGAUAAAACCUAUUUGUGACAGGAUAUAAGCUCCGAGUUUAAAGUCUAAGGAACAAUGUUCAACUUUUUGAGUGUUAUCACAUCAUGAGCCUUAAGCCUACCAAGGUUAACAGCAUUAAAAGUUCGAUUACCUUUAUAAGAUUUGGACAUCUUAAAUAAAUGCAUGGAUUUCUGUACCAUAUCUUUCUCUUAGAGGAAAAGUUGUCGAGCAAACAUACACGAAUUCGCAAGCAAACACCGGCAGAUGGAUCAAGUUUAACUACCAAAAUUUUAUAUUUUUAGUUUACUUUAACAAAAGGAGAUAAUGUUCUUUCUUUAAUUAUGAGUUUUUCUUUUUUCCUUUGCGAAACGAAACAAAAUUAGAUGUCUCUUUCACCAACUAACACAAAAUCAAACACAGACAAGAAAAUAGCCACCUAAUAAGAUAGUAAAUAUUUUGGGCGGUCAGACUAAUACACAGUCGUCACUGUAGAAUUGAAUUUGGGUAAAUUCUAGA